Molecule: ribosomal RNA, 301 nt
Filed under: uncultured bacterium
Lineage: Bacteria
Description: partial 16S ribosomal RNA
Rfam family: Bacterial small subunit ribosomal RNA
Source: RNAcentral
CAGCAGCCACGGUAAUACGGAGGGAGCUAGCGUUAUUCGGAAUUACCGGGCGUAAAGCGCACGUAGGCGGCUUUGUAAGUAAGAGGUGAAAGCCCAGAGCUCAACUCUGGAAUUGCCUUUUAGACUGCAUCGCUUGAAUCAUGGAGAGGUCAGUGGAAUUCCGAGUGUAGAGGUGAAAUUCGUAGAUAUUCGGAAGGACACCAGUGGCGAAGGCGGCUGACUGGACAUGUAUUGACGCUGAGGUGCGAAAGCGUGGGGAGCAAACAGGAUUAGAUACCCCUGUAGUCCCUGUCUCUUAUAC